AGCCUUAUAUUCAAAAAUGAUUUAAAAUUGCAAAUUUUAAGGGGUAAAUAAAAUUUACUAAGGCUU
This 66-nucleotide transfer RNA is filed under the name Carterocephalus silvicola (northern checquered skipper). RNAcentral's name for it is "tRNA-Cys". The record is from RNAcentral. Lineage: Eukaryota; Metazoa; Arthropoda; Insecta; Lepidoptera; Hesperiidae.